Non-coding RNA from Ictidomys tridecemlineatus (thirteen-lined ground squirrel), 1034 nucleotides. Lineage: Eukaryota; Metazoa; Chordata; Mammalia; Rodentia; Sciuridae. The record is from RefSeq and is a predicted model, not a curated record.
AAGGCAGACGCUGCCGCAGAGAGACUGGAAUAGGCCUUGGAGAUGAUCUCAGGGCCAACAGGAAGAGCCUCCGCUGCAGACAGGUGACAGUGCCUCGGUGACACGAGGCACAACCAGUACAGCUCCGGGGAAGGCGUGCCGUAUGCUAGAAAUUUCUGUGCCAGGCUGGAGAAGCUGCCUGGAGACUCACAAAUUGCUCAUAUAACCAACAUGUCAGCCGGGCCUCUCUGCUCCUGGGGCUGAGGGACGCUUUCUCUGCCCUGUCCAGCCUCCUGCUGGCUCCUGCUGAUCUGCCUGACCCCACCCACCCUGGGCUUCUGCUCUGAGGAGGGGUCGGACAUGGACCCUGCCUGGGUUCUCCCACUGAAACCCAUGGACACAAAGCCAGGUGAGCCCCCAGGAAGACUUACCUGGGCACAGUAGGGGUGGUGUUUGGGCGGACAUGGGUGGGUUCAUGUUACACACCUCACAGCUCACCACCUCGUGAUGUGGUCUGUCCCCCCAGGCUUCUGUGCUGGGAGCCUGGUCCCACGUAUUGUAGCCCUGAAAGGUAGUGGCUCUUUAAAAGGCGGAGCCUAGGGGGAGGCCUUUAGGUCAUGGGGGCACCCUCCCUGGGAGGAAUUAAUCCCCAUCUCUUGGGACUGGAUUGGUUACUGAGAGAGGAGGUUGUCAAAAAGCAAGUUUGGCAUUCUGGUUCUCAAUCUUUCUCCCACUCUGGCCACAUGACCUGUGUCACAUGAGCUCCCACCAUGGGAUGUCAACUACCAGGAGGCCCUUACCAGAAGCUAAUGUCAUUUGGACCUUCAGAACUGUGACCUCUGCCCCACACUGACCCUCUUCAGCCGCACAUUGGACCCUAGCGGAUCCUACAUGCUUGGUGAACGAUUGUAACCUUGGGGUCAAGAGCUUUGUGUGCAGUUAACUGCUCAAAGUUGGGUCCCCUCCAUCUUAUGUAUGUUCUUUUUUGACUCUCAAGCACAAAAGAAAUUUGGGGGAAGAAAGCUUAAUAAUAAAAAUGUUUUUUACAUCUCCUA